UACACAUGCAGUCGAGCGGGGAAAGGUAGCUUGCUACUUAACCUAGCGGCGGACGGGUGAGUAAUGCUUAGGAAUCUGCCUAUUAGUGGGGGACAACAUCUCGAAAGGGAUGCUAAUACCGCAUACGUCCUACGGGAGAAAGCAGGGGACCUUCGGGCCUUGCGCUAAUAGAUGAGCCUAAGUCGGAUUAGCUAGUUGGUGGGGUAAAGGCCUACCAAGGCAACGAUCUGUAGCGGGUCUGAGAGGAUGAUCCGCCACACUGGGACUGAGACACGGCCCAGACUCCUACGGGAGGCAGCAGUGGGGAAUAUUGGACAAUGGGGGGAACCCUGAUCCAGCCAUGCCGCGUGUGUGAAGAAGGCCUUUUGGUUGUAAAGCACUUUAAGCGAGGAGGAGGCUACCGAGAUUAAUACUCUUGGAUAGUGGACGUUACUCGCAGAAUAAGCACCGGCUAACUCUGUGCCAGCAGCCGCGGUAAUACAGAGGGUGCAAGCGUUAAUCGGAUUUACUGGGCGUAAAGCGCGCGUAGGUGGCCAAUUAAGUCAAAUGUGAAAUCCCCGAGCUUAACUUGGGAAUUGCAUUCGAUACUGGUUGGCUAGAGUAUGGGAGAGGAUGGUAGAAUUCCAGGUGUAGCGGUGAAAUGCGUAGAGAUCUGGAGGAAUACCGAUGGCGAAGGCAGCCAUCUGGCCUAAUACUGACACUGAGGUGCGAAAGCAUGGGGAGCAAACAGGAUUAGAUACCCUGGUAGUCCAUGCCGUAAACGAUGUCUACUAGCCGUUGGGGCCUUUGAGGCUUUAG
This 798-nucleotide ribosomal RNA is filed under the name uncultured bacterium. RNAcentral describes it as "bacterial SSU rRNA". It matches the Rfam family "Bacterial small subunit ribosomal RNA", at positions 50 to 843 of the family's 1533-position model. The record is from RNAcentral.